GACGAACGCUGGCGGCGUGCUUAACACAUGCAAGUCGAACGGAAAGGCCCUGCUUUUGUGGGGUGCUCGAGUGGCGAACGGGUGAGUAACACGUGAGUAACCUGCCCUUGACUUUGGGAUAACUUCAGGAAACUGGGGCUAAUACCGGAUAGGAGCUCCUGCUGCAUGGUGGGGGUUGGAAAGUUUCGGCGGUUGGGGUUGGACUCGCGGCUUAUCAGCUUGUUGGUGGGGUAGUGGCUUACCAAGGCUUUGACGGGUAGCCGGCCUGAGAGGGUGACCGGCCACAUUGGGACUGAGAUACGGCCCAGACUCCUACGGGAGGCAGCAGUGGGGAAUAUUGCACAAUGGGCGGAAGCCUGAUGCAGCAACGCCGCGUGCGGGAUGACGGCCUUCGGGUUGUAAACCGCUUCCGCCUGUGACGAAGCGUGAGUGACGGUAAUGGGUAAAGAAGCACCGGCUAACUACGUG
Molecule: ribosomal RNA, 468 nt
Filed under: uncultured bacterium
Lineage: Bacteria
Description: partial 16S ribosomal RNA
Rfam family: Bacterial small subunit ribosomal RNA
Source: RNAcentral